UAUAAAUAAUAUUUAAGUAAAAGUCAAAUAUAUAUACAUUUGUAUACAAAUAAAAUUUCAAAAUCUGCGGUCUUUGACAUUCGAGAGACAUCAUUUCAGCAAGAAGUAUUCCUGUUCGCUAUUUUCUCGAAGACUUUUACGAGUCUCGUCGUCCCAUUUAUGAGCACGAUUCAUCAUCAAAUCUUUAAACUCGCUGUCCUAAGGAGUCUUCGAAGCAUGCGCAGGUCGUCAGAUUGCUUUUAAGUCUUUCGUGAGCACAUUGGUUCUUCCGGCUUAAACUUCUCGCUUUUUAAUGUAUAGUAAUUAUAUAGCGCGUUUCGCAAUGUAAUUACUUUAUUCAAUUAAAGACAUCAACCACGAGAGGAAAAGAUCACGUUUGUUCAUAUCACUUAUUAAGAAGCGCUCGUUAGUAUCGUGUUAAAUGUGAUUUGAACAAGUUUGAAGAGACAGUUACUUUCUAGAAUUACAACGCUCGUAUUUAUUACUCAGCGAGGUCCGAGGUCGUUCAACAUGAGGCACGCGUACCAAUACCUUGGCUUACGUGACACGUGAUACAAGUGUUUUAAGCGCAAACUGCGCACGCGGCCAGGGUGUGGUAACUGCUUUGUCUCGUGUUACGAAUAGAAAAUAAACGACAUCGACGCUAUCGAGGAGCUCUUCUCGUGAUCGUAGUAAUAGUUUCUUGACAUUUACGAUCGACAAUAUUUGUUUUAUUCAUUAAUUCCGCGACAAAAUCGCGUAAAAAUAUUGUCGUUGUUUUUAAUAAUUACGCAACCGAUAGACAAGUAGAAAUUUAUUUACAGAUACAAAUGCAGAGCCGAAUUGUUUAUUGAAUGGCUAUAUGAUCGCGUUUCCGGGUCGCAAUUUUCCUCUGCGCGAUGUUGAUAGACCGUUUAAUCGGCUUGUAAAGUUCCGAAAUAGAUUAAGAGAAGCUGUAGGAUUGUGUGUACCCAGCGUACCCAGUGUAUCGUUGGCGAGUUUACUGACGAAACAAUAAUACGAAACUUGUUUGCUGGAUUAUCCCGAUACUUACUGCGCAUAUAACGGCCUGCUGAGCAUUUUCGUUUUUCGUCAAAAUGUCUAACAAUCUGUAAAUACCGGCGUUAUCAUUUACAG
Cataglyphis hispanica is the source of this 1116-nucleotide long non-coding RNA. RefSeq lists it as uncharacterized. Lineage: Eukaryota; Metazoa; Arthropoda; Insecta; Hymenoptera; Formicidae. The transcript is spliced from 3 exons. The record is from RefSeq and is a predicted model, not a curated record.